RNA transcript from Haliaeetus leucocephalus (bald eagle), 2269 nucleotides. It is a transcript of the gene named transmembrane protein 128, with no coding region annotated. The transcript has 5 exons. The record is from RefSeq and is a predicted model, not a curated record. Lineage: Eukaryota; Metazoa; Chordata; Aves; Accipitriformes; Accipitridae.
AUGUUUUACGUAACUAUAAUCAUACUCCAUUUAAUGACUGGCUUUAGUGCUAUAAUUAUGUUCUUAUUUACAGAAGAGUCUACAGCUGUAGAGAAGAAGAGGAAGCCUCUUACCAGACUGAAUAUUCAUUCUGCAUUCUGGAUUUUGGCAUCAAUUGCUGUGACAUACUACUUUGAUUUUUUUAAAACUGUUAAAGAAACUAUUCAAGCAGAUAGUUGGUGGUUUGCCUCUGGCAGUUGUUUAUUGGCUGCAUGUUUAUCUGUUGCCUUUUACUGCAUACUCUAUCUUGAGUGGUAUUGUGGAAUUGAGGACUACGACACACAGUAUCCAGCACUGAUACCUAUCACAACAGCUACCUUCAUUGCAGCAGCAAUUUGUUUCAACGUUGCCUUGUGGCCUGUCUGGUCCUUUAUGACACCUUUGUUGCUCUUCAUUCAGUUUAUGGGUGUUGUGAUGCUUGUGUCACUCCUGGGAUAAGUCCUUCAGGAUAUACUAUUCAGAUGAAUCCUGGGAAAUGGAAAAAGCUUAAGGAAGACGUCAAAGACUGCUCAGUAAAUAGGGUGAGGGAUGUCCCCUGUAUCACAGGCAUCUACAUCAUCCACUGAAGUGACUUCUUCAGCAGCUUCAUGUGAAGGACUCAAGUAACUGUUAUCCUGCAAAGUGGAUGUCACUUUUCUUACAUUCCAGUACUUUUAUUGUUUCUAAUACUGCUUGCUUGCUCUAACUGAUACUGUAAUUGUUAGACUACCUGAUUUAUAAAUCAAAUGGACAUAACCAUAGGUCAGCCAGUGGCUGGGGAAAAAGCAACUGACUAGUGAAUAAUUGAAAGAUAGGUUUUACCUCUCUUAGUAACAUAAAGCAUUUCAUCACUGCUUUGUAAAGCUUUUAUUCAUAUUUCAAUAUUAAGCAGAUGGGUUAUAAGUCAGUUAUGUAGCCCUAAAUCCUAUUUAGGGACUCCAGAGGUUACCUAGUCCAGCUUCCUGCUUAAAGCAGGUUGGUUGUUUUGAAAGUAAUUGAUACUUAAUUCAAGUGUUGCGAGUUUUUAAUACUACAAUUUUUCAAUUUGAACUGACAGCUAAAAAUAUUGUAUGGUAUCUGUGUUUGUACUUGUAAACUAUCAUAGAUGACACAGGAGACAUUUCUUGGAUCUAUUAAAUUUCUAAUAUUAUGUGUGUUACCAUGCAGGAAAUAUUUUAUUACCUAAUCUCUUGACUUCAGAUCUGCUAGUGUUUGAAAAAAGAUAUGGAUCAAGGUAAGGGCCUUAGAAAGCUGGUUGAUGUUUAUGUCAUUGUUAAUUUGGCAGUGCCAUCAGUGAAAUAGAUUCUAUUUGUGCUGAUACAGUUUGUCCACAGCCAAAGAUGGAUGAUCAAGAUGUGAAUAACCAGCAAUAUAAUGAACAAUACUAACACUACACAACAAAUUAAGAGCACAAAGUAAAUUCUUUUGAUGUAUGCACUACUUUUUCAGUAUUCAGGAUGUUUUUCUUCUGUAAAUUAACUUUCCGUUCUUAGCAGUGCCUGUUAAUGAAGUUGCCAUUUUUCUUCCUCAGCAAUAAAGAGGCUAGUAUUACCUUAAAUGGUGUUAGUCAUACACAGUUGGGAAAAUAAAAUAACAUUGUCUCUCUGUUCACCUUCACUAAGCUACUUAAAUAUCUGGAAACCUGGACACCAUCUAGUUGCUAGACCAUUUUAUAUAGAUCUUUGUGUUAAGUACUUUCACACCCACACCUUUGGAAAGUAGGAGAAUGUAGAAGCUGGAUAUUGAAACUUGUUAAAACUUACUCCUUAUGACUGUUGCCUGAAGUCUGGACCAUUAGAGGAGACUGUGUUCUUCAUUCUGACUUUCAAAUUCACACAUUGCUGAAUACACAAUACAUGAAAUGUUCAGUAAUAAAAAAGAUAGACAUUGUCUUAAGCUUCUGCUGUUUCAUUAAGGAAAAAAGUUGCUGUCAGUAUGCAGUACAAAGGAUCAGUCAAACCAAAAUAAAGUACAUUUAGCACUACUGUUAAGUAGCUUGUAGAGUAAGUUAACAGCUUGAUUUGUUUAAAUGUAAUACUUCAGUUUUCCAAAACUAGUUGUACUUCACAUCUUUAAAGGGCAAGUUGCUUGUCUUCAGGUCUUUGCCUUUUAACAAAUUUUAACAAUUUUACGUCUGCGUACAGAGGUACAUUUAGGUAACUUUGUUUAUUCCGCUAUUUAAAAUGCAGUGUUGCUCAGGGAUGAUAAUUACCACUGUAUUUUUAUUUGUCAGCUAUAUAAAUGCUCUAGG